RNAcentral lists this ribosomal RNA (483 nucleotides) under uncultured bacterium. Its description in RNAcentral is "partial 16S ribosomal RNA". It matches the Rfam family "Bacterial small subunit ribosomal RNA", at positions 28 to 523 of the family's 1533-position model. The record is from RNAcentral.
GACGAACGCUGGCGGCGUGCUCAACACAUGCAAGUCGAACGAUGAAGCUGGAGCUUGCUCCGGUGGAUUAGUGGCGAACGGGUGAGUAACACGUGAGAAAUCUGCCCUUCACUCUGGGAUAACUGCGGGAAACUGUAGCUAAUGCCGGAUACGAGACCUUGGGGCAUCCCAGGGUCUGUAAAGAAUUUCGGUGAAGGGUGAGCUCGCGGCCUAUCAGGUAGUUGGUGAGGUAAUGGCUCACCAAGGCGACGACGGGUAGCCGGCCUGAGAGGGUGGCCGGCCACACUGGGACUGAGACACGGCCCAGACUCCUACGGGAGGCAGCAGUGGGGAAUAUUGCACAAUGGGCGAAAGCCUGAUGCAGCAACGCCGCGUGAGGGAUGAAGGCCUUCGGGUUGUAAACCUCUUUUAGUAGGGAAGAAGCGCAAGUGACGGUACCUACAGAAAAAGCACCGGCUAACUACGUGCCAGCCGCCGCGGUAA